Molecule: long non-coding RNA, 907 nt
Organism: Ornithodoros turicata
Lineage: Eukaryota; Metazoa; Arthropoda; Arachnida; Ixodida; Argasidae
Exons: 2
Source: RefSeq, a predicted model, not a curated record
GGAAGAAUUCUCUUACUUGUGGUGGCAGCCCUGCAAGUGUGGCAAGAGCAAGACCCUGAGGAAUGACUGUGAGAGCAACGGUGAUCCCCGCAACCACGUCGCCGUGCAGGUCAAGAAGGGAAUAAUGUGGCAGCCACUUGGUGAUGGGCAGCCUGUUCUUCCAGCGCUGCAGGGAGCAGCAACGCUCCUGCAUGGUGCCCAAUAGGCCAUGGCAGGAGAAUGUCGGAGGCUCGUGUUCCCCGUCUGUGGCUGAGUCAUCGUUGUUGUGGUCACCUGAACGACAAGACCCGAGGCUUAGGUCAGAAAAAAUUCUGCACCGAUAAGAUCAGGUAAGGAGCCUCUUAUCAGGACGCUGCCGAAGAAGCUUCAGAGUCCGAAGCGCGAGUUCAUGCAGCACUUCAAGAGCUUGGACGUCAGAGGUACAGUUUGACAUCACGGAACAUCUGGCAUCUUGUUUUACUUCAGACUCCCGAUUAUGUGAAGGUACAAGACAUCUGGCAGCCUUUGUUGCUUGUUCUCAGAAAGCUUACGGUAUUAAGUGAUGCUGACGUACUUUCUUGCAGCAGAGUUAUUUGUUUAACAACCGUUGAAACCCCAGUAUGACAAGCAAUUACGACGCAGACCGAUUUCCAAGCCUUUGUUAGAGCGGAUGCUUGAAAUUAGAAGAGAUCCUUCUAACAGUUUGCACAGUCUGUUACAAGGAUCGCUUCUCAUUAAAGGGGUCUUUUCUAACAAUGGCUUGGAGAUCUGUCAGUGUUGCUGUCGUAAUUGCAGGCCAUACUGGCUCUUCACAGGAUGCAGCUUGUCUUGUGAAUGUCAUUUAUGUCGGUAGUACCUACAAAAUUUAACACAAAGUUAUGGUGUAAUUACUUUAAUGUCUACUUCAAUAAAUAUAAAUUAAAGUUGA